ACUUAAUCUCCUUUCGUCCAUAAAUGUACGCCUUCCACAUUACGCCUAGUUACUUAUUCUAGCCUAGAUAUAAUUUUGUAGCUAAGUAUCAAGUUUAGUUCAGUCAGUUCGUCAGUGCAGUGGCAGUGUUUCUGUUCGUAUACUGUACUGUUUAGGCUAGGCCUAGGCUAAACCUAAGAAUUGAGUAAAAAAAAGUGCAACAGCUCAGGUACGGGCGUUGGGACACAAAAGAAAAAUCGUUGUUUUUUUUUGUUGCUUACCUAGGCCUAGCCUAGGCUUAGGCCUCUUCCUUAACCUAGGGCCUACAGUACACAGUACCUAGCCUAGCUAAGCCAUAGAAGCCUAUGCAUGAAAUUUGAAAAAAAAUUCAUUUUUUCUUUAAAUAUCAUUUAUUUAUUGUAUUUUGUGUCAACCAAAAAUACUGAGACUUGUUUUUUGCACAGUUCAAUAUACUUCACUCUUUUUCAAAAUGAAUGAUUGUAUAACUGUCAACUGUCUGACCUCAAUAAUUGGUAUUUUAAAUUCGACAACCACACAACCAAAAACAUCAAUAGCUCGAACUUUUUAAUAUACUCAUAUUCUACACAUAGGAAGUUUUCAAUUUUGCUAUAAUUAAAGUUUGAAAUAUUUCAAGCAUAAUUAUAUUUUGUUGACCAAAAAAUAUGGUAUAAAUAACUGGGGUGUGAAUAUUUUUCAUGGAUGUCCAUUGAAAGUCAAAUACUAAUAGCAUGCGCAAAUGUGGGAGGAAAGUUUACUAAUAAAUAGUAAAUAAUUAUCUAUCUUCCAAUAGAUUGACAUUGGCCAUGGUUUACUUAUAGAAAAGGACCAACUAAUAGCCAUCACUCAGAUAAGCGAUGGGGCCACAAGGCAAAUUCAAAAUUUGUUUGUUGUUGUUUCCGAGGCAUGAAGUGGUAGGGAAAUACAUGAUAGGGAAGAAAAGCAACGCACAUGUGGAACAUCGGUAGAGAAAGAGCGUUUGGAUCCCAUCUGAAUUACUGCCAUAACAGGUAGUUACCAAUGACCUGAGGGAAGGAAGUUCAACAGCAUUUAGGCAAGUCCACCAUUCUUCUGUAAAGGCACCCUGUAUGCAUAAUUAAAUACGAAACUUAAAGCAAGUUUGUAAUGAAGAAGAUGUAGUUGCCAGAAGAGAUGACAACGAUGAGGACGACAGCAAUAUUAUGUGAAUGCGUUUGAUUUGUAGCACAUCCUCUUUAUUGGUUCUGAUACAACAUUCUACUUCGCAAAUGGUUCCAUUGUGACAGAACAGUCAUGAAUUUCCUCUGUCAAGGCUUGAUUCAGAGAGAGUGUAGCCACCUGCUUUUCUCAAUUUCCAAGAUUUUUAAGUGUGCACUAUGGAAUUUUGUACACUAGGCCCCUUGUUUAUUUUUGAUAUUUCUUUGACAUUUUUAAAAUCAAUUGAACUUGCCAAAUACUGACUGAAAUAACUGUACUUACAGAAAUAGUAUAGAAUUGUCAGCACUUGACUCUAACUUGAUUUUGAUUUAUUAUUUUUUUGGAUAUUGAUUAUUGUAUAUCCUUUUGUCCUAUAUUGAAAUGGGGCUUUUGCUAAUUUACAGUAUAAUACAGUACAGGAUGCAUUAAACAUUAAAGGAUAAACACAUAACGCUAUAUAAUUGUAAGUAAUUUUGUAUUGUUGACCUCUUUUGUCCCAGAGCAUCAAAGUUAACACGAUGUAGUUGGAAUCCUACGUGUGACCAGAGGCCGACCUAAGGAUAUGCACAGUGUACAGCCUUUGUUCAAGUUUUGAAAACGUCUUGGAAUACCAAUCAAACUCAAAAAUUUUACCGUUAUUUUGAUGUUUUUAAAGAAUUCUUAAAAGGUAUUACAAGACCAAAGUCAAUGUAACUAGAGUUAAAAAUUACUCUAUUUACAUUGACUUUGGUAUUGUAACAAAUUUUAAGAAUGUUUUAAAAACAUCAAAAUAACGUUAUAAUAACGUUUCUGAAUGUUAAAUUGAAACGUUAUUAAAAUGCUUUAAAAACUCCCCAUAAUUACGUUUUUAAAACGUAAUAUUAUAACGUUUUACAAACGUAAUAAAAACCCUUUGUAAACGUUUUUAAAACGUGAUACAAGAACAAAGUCGAUGUAACCAAGGUUAUUUUUACGUUAUAAUAACGUUUUUAAAACUUAAAACGUUAUUUAAACGCUUCCAAAACUCCACAAAAUUACGUUUUCGAAACGUUUUAC
RNAcentral lists this long non-coding RNA (2208 nucleotides) under Anneissia japonica. RNAcentral describes it as "uncharacterized LOC117110884". The record is from RNAcentral. Lineage: Eukaryota; Metazoa; Echinodermata; Crinoidea; Comatulida; Comatulidae.